GCGUAGGCGAAUGGAAAACAGAUUAAUAUUUCUGUGCCAGUCAUAUUUUGUGAUGGAGGGACGUAGAAGGGUAUGUACGCGGAAGAACGGUAGUUUCCGUAAAAGCAUGUAGAAUGACUUGAUAGGUAAAUCCGUCAAGUUAGAUUUGAGGUGUGAUAUAUAGUCGUAAGAUGAAUGUACAAAUCCCACGCUGCCGAGAAAAGCUUCUAACGUUAAGGUAUGACUGCCCGUACCCGAAACCGACACAGGUGGUCAGGAUGAGAAAUCUAAGGCGGACAGGCUAACUCUCGUUAAGGAACUCUGCAAAAUUGCCCCGUAACUUCGGGAGAAGGGGUGCCCCUGAGUGUGAGCAUACACGCGAUGUUAAGCGCUUGGGGGUCGCAGUGAAGAGGCUCAAGCAACUGUUUAACAAAAACACAGGUCUAUGCUAAGCUGUAAGGCGAUGUAUAUGGGCUGACACCUGCCCAGUGCCGGAAGGUUAAGAGGAGGAGUGAGAGCUCCGAAUUGAAGCCCCGGUGAACGGCGGCCGUAACUAUAACGGUCCUAAGGUAGCGAAAUUCCUUGUCGGGUAAGUUCCGACCUGCACGAAUGGUGUAAUGAUUUGAGCGCUGUCUUGACGGGAGGCCUGGUGAAAUUGUAUUACCGGUGAAGAUACCGGUUACCUACAGUAGGACGGAAAGACCCCAUGGAGCUUUACUGUAGCUUGGUAUUGGGUUUUGGCAUUGCAUGUAUAGGAUAGUUGGGAAACUAUGAUGGUAUGGCGCUAGCUAUAUCGGAGUUGUCGGUGGAAUACCAACCAUUCAAUGUUGAAAUUCUAAUCUGUGGUUUGGAGCCACGGAGACAGUGCUAGGUGGGCAGUUUGACUGGGGCGGUCGCCUCCGAAAGAGUAACGGAGGCGUUCAAAGGUUCUCUCAGGUUGGAUGGAAAUCAACCGCAGAGUGCAAUGGCAUAAGAGAGCUUGACUGCGAGACUGACGGGUCGAGCAGGUGCGAAAGCAGGACAUAGUGAUCCGGCGAUUCCGAAUGGAAGGAUCGUCGCUCAACGGAUAAAAGCUACCCUGGGGA
RNAcentral lists this ribosomal RNA (1064 nucleotides) under human gut metagenome. RNAcentral describes it as "bacterial LSU rRNA". It matches the Rfam family "Bacterial large subunit ribosomal RNA", at positions 1409 to 2474 of the family's 2925-position model. The record is from RNAcentral.